AUUCUGUAGGUAUGUUACUAGUCAGUAAUGGUUUAGAUUUCUGUUGUUUUGUUUCUAGGCACCAAGACCACUGUUUACUAAAUCAGUUUAGCAGGAAAUUUUACAGAAGUCACAUGCAGCAAUUUGUAUUUUUCUAGACAAAAGUAUCUGCGAACGGCCACGAGUUAUCGGACGCUGUAGGGCCAGGUUUAUUCGCUAUUUUUACAACAAGAAGCUUCGCAGAUGUCAGUCAUUUGUGUAUGGUGGUUGUGGGAGUAAUGGGAACAACUUUGGCACAAUGAAAAAAUGCAGAGCGAAAUGCCAAGGUUGAAAAGGAAAGUGAUUAAACAGUUGUGACAACUGACAAGGUGACCAGAAAACAGGGAAAAUCAAGGAAGCUCCUGCUGCCCCAGAGUGUACGAUAAUUAAAAUACAAUCAAAGAAAGCGGUUUUAUAAACAUCCAAAGAUCAAAAAUUAAAUGUUUGUUAUUCUUAGCAAGAAGAUCCAGGUCUUGAGUUCCGACACUUGCUUAAAAAUCUAGACUGAGAUCAAUUUUGUCCCCAAAUUUUUUGACCAUGACAAGAGGCAAUACAAUUGACAUCGAAGCCUCCCAAAGUAUUCUUAGCGUAGAGAUCUCUUCAGUUGCAUUUAUAUGGGUGUCACUAAUUUCACUUAAGAGAAGGUUUUAUAAAGGACAUGAAAUUAAAGGCAAUUCUUGAACUAUAUGGCUUGUGGAGGAUUUGUUGAGCCAAAUGAUAAUUUCUCAUUCCACUCUUUUAUAUUAUUCCAUUGACAGCUGCAAAUGUAAAACUGGGAUAUAUUUCAAAUGGGGGAGUUUAAAAUGUGGAGUUUAUUAGCUAAGAUUUUUCUGCAAGAUGCGUGUACUAUUUUCUUCCUUAAAUGAAUUUUUAUUUCUUAUCUUCUCUGCAGUGGUUUAUUUCAGUUCAUACAACUGUAAAACUCCUUAAUUAUUUAUUCAUCUCAUAAUUAGCUCUUAAAUUCAAUAACACCAGCAAUUUAACUCUGUUACUGUAUUUGAAUGGUGCUAACCUCUACUCUGGGCCAUUUGUGACUGCCAGUGCCACAACUCAGACAUAGAGGUUCAGCACCAUUUGUGAGCAGAGUUAUAUAAG
Long non-coding RNA from Carcharodon carcharias (great white shark), 1113 nucleotides. RefSeq lists it as uncharacterized. Lineage: Eukaryota; Metazoa; Chordata; Chondrichthyes; Lamniformes; Lamnidae. The transcript is spliced from 3 exons. The record is from RefSeq and is a predicted model, not a curated record.